This 484-nucleotide ribosomal RNA is filed under the name uncultured bacterium. RNAcentral's name for it is "bacterial SSU rRNA". It matches the Rfam family "Bacterial small subunit ribosomal RNA", at positions 29 to 507 of the family's 1533-position model. The record is from RNAcentral.
AACGAACGCUGGCGGCGCGCCUAACACAUGCAAGUCGAACGAGAAUCCGGGGCAACCCGGUAGUUAAGUGGCAAACGGGUGAGGAAUACAUGGGUAACCUACCCUUGAGAAGGGAAUAACCCGCCGAAAGGUGAGCUAAUACCCUAUACGCUAUCUUUUUUUCGAAAAGGAUAGGAAAGCCGGGUCGAGGACCUGGUACUCAAGGAGGGGCUCAUGUCCUAUCAGCUUGUUGGUGGGGUAACGGCCUACCAAGGCUACGAUGGGUAGCUGGUCUGAGAGGAUGAUCAGCCACACUGGCACUGAGAUACGGGCCAGACUCCUACGGGAGGCAGCAGUGAGGAAUAUUGCGCAAUGGGCGAAAGCCUGACGCAGCGACGCCGCGUGGGGGAUGAAGGUUUUCGGAUUGUAAACCCUUUCAUGAGGAAAGAUAAAGUGGGUAACCACUUAGACGGUACCUCAAGAAGAAGCCACGGCUAACUUCGUG